GAACUCUUGACUCUCUUCAAAUCGCAUAAAUCUUUCGCCUUUUACUAAAGAUUUCCGUGGAGAGGGUUAACCAAUGAGUCUAAACCCAAUUUUUGGAAUGCUUGACGAAAGUCGGGCAC
Molecule: small nuclear RNA, 119 nt
Filed under: Bemisia tabaci
Lineage: Eukaryota; Metazoa; Arthropoda; Insecta; Hemiptera; Aleyrodidae
Description: U5 spliceosomal RNA
Rfam family: U5 spliceosomal RNA
About the family: U5 RNA is a component of both types of known spliceosome.
Source: RNAcentral